This 2921-nucleotide ribosomal RNA is filed under the name Staphylococcus aureus. RNAcentral describes it as "bacterial LSU rRNA". It matches the Rfam family "Bacterial large subunit ribosomal RNA". Lineage: Bacteria; Bacillati; Bacillota; Bacilli; Caryophanales; Staphylococcaceae. The record is from RNAcentral.
UUAAGUUAUUAAGGGCGCACGGUGGAUGCCUUGGCACUAGAAACCGAUGAAGGACGUUACUAACGACGAUAUGCUUUGGGGAGCUGUAAGUAAGCUUUGAUCCAGAGAUUUCCGAAUGGGGAAACCCAGCAUGAGUUAUGUCAUGUUAUCGAUAUGUGAAUACAUAGCAUAUCAGAAGGCACACCCGGAGAACUGAAACAUCUUAGUACCCGGAGGAAGAGAAAGAAAAUUCGAUUCCCUUAGUAGCGGCGAGCGAAACGGGAAGAGCCCAAACCAACAAGCUUGCUUGUUGGGGUUGUAGGACACUCUAUACGGAGUUACAAAGGACGACAUUAGACGAAUCAUCUGGAAAGAUGAAUCAAAGAAGGUAAUAAUCCUGUAGUCGAAAAUGUUGUCUCUCUUGAGUGGAUCCUGAGUACGACGGAGCACGUGAAAUUCCGUCGGAAUCUGGGAGGACCAUCUCCUAAGGCUAAAUACUCUCUAGUGACCGAUAGUGAACCAGUACCGUGAGGGAAAGGUGAAAAGCACCCCGGAAGGGGAGUGAAAUAGAACCUGAAACCGUGUGCUUACAAGUAGUCAGAGCCCGUUAAUGGGUGAUGGCGUGCCUUUUGUAGAAUGAACCGGCGAGUUACGAUUUGAUGCAAGGUUAAGCAGUAAAUGUGGAGCCGUAGCGAAAGCGAGUCUGAAUAGGGCGUUUAGUAUUUGGUCGUAGACCCGAAACCAGGUGAUCUACCCUUGGUCAGGUUGAAGUUCAGGUAACACUGAAUGGAGGACCGAACCGACUUACGUUGAAAAGUGAGCGGAUGAACUGAGGGUAGCGGAGAAAUUCCAAUCGAACCUGGAGAUAGCUGGUUCUCUCCGAAAUAGCUUUAGGGCUAGCCUCAAGUGAUGAUUAUUGGAGGUAGAGCACUGUUUGGACGAGGGGCCCCUCUCGGGUUACCGAAUUCAGACAAACUCCGAAUGCCAAUUAAUUUAACUUGGGAGUCAGAACAUGGGUGAUAAGGUCCGUGUUCGAAAGGGAAACAGCCCAGACCACCAGCUAAGGUCCCAAAAUAUAUGUUAAGUGGAAAAGGAUGUGGCGUUGCCCAGACAACUAGGAUGUUGGCUUAGAAGCAGCCAUCAUUUAAAGAGUGCGUAAUAGCUCACUAGUCGAGUGACACUGCGCCGAAAAUGUACCGGGGCUAAACAUAUUACCGAAGCUGUGGAUUGUCCUUUGGACAAUGGUAGGAGAGCGUUCUAAGGGCGUUGAAGCAUGAUCGUAAGGACAUGUGGAGCGCUUAGAAGUGAGAAUGCCGGUGUGAGUAGCGAAAGACGGGUGAGAAUCCCGUCCACCGAUUGACUAAGGUUUCCAGAGGAAGGCUCGUCCGCUCUGGGUUAGUCGGGUCCUAAGCUGAGGCCGACAGGCGUAGGCGAUGGAUAACAGGUUGAUAUUCCUGUACCACCUAUAAUCGUUUUAAUCGAUGGGGGGACGCAGUAGGAUAGGCGAAGCGUGCGAUUGGAUUGCACGUCUAAGCAGUAAGGCUGAGUAUUAGGCAAAUCCGGUACUCGUUAAGGCUGAGCUGUGAUGGGGAGAAGACAUUGUGUCUUCGAGUCGUUGAUUUCACACUGCCGAGAAAAGCCUCUAGAUAGAAAAUAGGUGCCCGUACCGCAAACCGACACAGGUAGUCAAGAUGAGAAUUCUAAGGUGAGCGAGCGAACUCUCGUUAAGGAACUCGGCAAAAUGACCCCGUAACUUCGGGAGAAGGGGUGCUCUUUAGGGUUAACGCCCAGAAGAGCCGCAGUGAAUAGGCCCAAGCGACUGUUUAUCAAAAACACAGGUCUCUGCUAAACCGUAAGGUGAUGUAUAGGGGCUGACGCCUGCCCGGUGCUGGAAGGUUAAGAGGAGUGGUUAGCUUCUGCGAAGCUACGAAUCGAAGCCCCAGUAAACGGCGGCCGUAACUAUAACGGUCCUAAGGUAGCGAAAUUCCUUGUCGGGUAAGUUCCGACCCGCACGAAAGGCGUAACGAUUUGGGCACUGUCUCAACGAGAGACUCGGUGAAAUCAUAGUACCUGUGAAGAUGCAGGUUACCCGCGACAGGACGGAAAGACCCCGUGGAGCUUUACUGUAGCCUGAUAUUGAAAUUCGGCACAGCUUGUACAGGAUAGGUAGGAGCCUUUGAAACGUGAGCGCUAGCUUACGUGGAGGCGCUGGUGGGAUACUACCCUAGCUGUGUUGGCUUUCUAACCCGCACCACUUAUCGUGGUGGGAGACAGUGUCAGGCGGGCAGUUUGACUGGGGCGGUCGCCUCCUAAAAGGUAACGGAGGCGCUCAAAGGUUCCCUCAGAAUGGUUGGAAAUCAUUCAUAGAGUGUAAAGGCAUAAGGGAGCUUGACUGCGAGACCUACAAGUCGAGCAGGGUCGAAAGACGGACUUAGUGAUCCGGUGGUUCCGCAUGGAAGGGCCAUCGCUCAACGGAUAAAAGCUACCCCGGGGAUAACAGGCUUAUCUCCCCCAAGAGUUCACAUCGACGGGGAGGUUUGGCACCUCGAUGUCGGCUCAUCGCAUCCUGGGGCUGUAGUCGGUCCCAAGGGUUGGGCUGUUCGCCCAUUAAAGCGGUACGCGAGCUGGGUUCAGAACGUCGUGAGACAGUUCGGUCCCUAUCCGUCGUGGGCGUAGGAAAUUUGAGAGGAGCUGUCCUUAGUACGAGAGGACCGGGAUGGACAUACCUCUGGUGUACCAGUUGUCGUGCCAACGGCAUAGCUGGGUAGCUAUGUGUGGACGGGAUAAGUGCUGAAAGCAUCUAAGCAUGAAGCCCCCCUCAAGAUGAGAUUUCCCAACUUCGGUUAUAAGAUCCCUCAAAGAUGAUGAGGUUAAUAGGUUCGAGGUGGAAGCAUGGUGACAUGUGGAGCUGACGAAUACUAAUCGAUCGAAGACUUAAUCAA